UAGGGAAUCUUCCACAAUGGACGCAAGUCUGAUGGAGCAACGCCGCGUGAGUGAAGAAGGUCUUCGGAUCGUAAAACUCUGUUGUUAGAGAAGAACAUGCGAGAGAGUAACUGUUCUUGUAUUGACGGUAUCUAACCAGAAAGCCACGGCUAACUACGUGCCGG
This 164-nucleotide ribosomal RNA is filed under the name uncultured bacterium. Its description in RNAcentral is "partial 16S rRNA". It matches the Rfam family "Bacterial small subunit ribosomal RNA", at positions 355 to 511 of the family's 1533-position model. The record is from RNAcentral.